RNAcentral lists this transfer RNA (69 nucleotides) under Turnagra capensis (piopio). RNAcentral's name for it is "tRNA-Pro". It matches the Rfam family "tRNA". From Rfam's summary of the family: Transfer RNA (tRNA) molecules are approximately 80 nucleotides in length. Their secondary structure includes four short double-helical elements and three loops (D, anti-codon, and T loops). The record is from RNAcentral. Lineage: Eukaryota; Metazoa; Chordata; Aves; Passeriformes.
CAGAAGGUAGUUUAAUUAAAAUACCAGCUUUGGGAGUUGGUGACGGAGGUUUAAUUCCUCUCUUUCUGA